This 427-nucleotide ribosomal RNA is filed under the name uncultured archaeon. Its description in RNAcentral is "bacterial SSU rRNA". It matches the Rfam family "Archaeal small subunit ribosomal RNA", at positions 474 to 903 of the family's 1478-position model. The record is from RNAcentral.
CACCAGCCCCUCGAGUGGUGGGGAUGAUUAUUUGGCCUAAAGCGUCCGUAGCCGGCCGGGUAAGUUUCCCGUUAAAUCCAGCGUCUCAAGCGUUGGACUGCGGGAAAUACUGCCUGGCUAGAGAGUGGGAGAGGUCAGCGGUAUUCUGGGGGUAGGGCGAAAUCCUUUGAUCCCCGGAGGACCACCAGUGGCGAAGGCUGCUGACUAGAACACGUCUGACGGUCAGGGACGAAAGCUGGGGUAGCGAACCGGAUUAGAUACCCGGGUAGUCCCAGCCGUAAACGAUGCAUGCUAGGUGUUGGGUUGGCCACGAGCCACCCCAGUGCCGCAGGGAAGCCGUUAAGCAUGCCGCCUGGGAAGUACGAUCGCAAGAUUGAAACUUAAAGGAAUUGGCGGGGAGCACCACCAGGCGUGAAGCCUGCGGUUU